UUAAGCGACUAAGCGUACACGGUGGAUGCCCUGGCAGUCAGAGGCGAUGAAGGACGUGCUAAUCUGCGAUAAGCGUCGGUAAGGUGAUAUGAACCGUUAUAACCGGCGAUUUCCGAAUGGGGAAACCCAGUGUGUUUCGACACACUAUCAUUAACUGAAUCCAUAGGUUAAUGAGGCGAACCGGGGGAACUGAAACAUCUAAGUACCCCGAGGAAAAGAAAUCAACCGAGAUUCCCCCAGUAGCGGCGAGCGAACGGGGAGCAGCCCAGAGCCUGAAUCAGUGUGUGUGUUAGUGGAAGCGUCUGGAAAGGCGCGCGAUACAGGGUGACAGCCCCGUACACAAAAAUACACAUACUGUGAGCUCGAUGAGUAGGGCGGGACACGUGGUAUCCUGUCUGAAUAUGGGGGGACCAUCCUCCAAGGCUAAAUACUCCUGACUGACCGAUAGUGAACCAGUACCGUGAGGGAAAGGCGAAAAGAACCCCGGCGAGGGGAGUGAAAAAGAACCUGAAACCGUGUACGUACAAGCAGUGGGAGCACAGAGCAAUCUGUGUGACUGCGUACCUUUUGUAUAAUGGGUCAGCGACUUAUAUUCUGUAGCAAGGUUAACCGAAUAGGGGAGCCGAAGGGAAACCGAGUCUUAACUGGGCGUUAAGUUGCAGGGUAUAGACCCGAAACCCGGUGAUCUAGCCAUGGGCAGGUUGAAGGUUGGGUAACACUAACUGGAGGACCGAACCGACUAAUGUUGAAAAAUUAGCGGAUGACUUGUGGCUGGGGGUGAAAGGCCAAUCAAACCGGGAGAUAGCUGGUUCUCCCCGAAAGCUAUUUAGGUAGCGCCUCGUGAAUUCAUCUCCGGGGGUAGAGCACUGUUUCGGCAAGGGGGUCAUCCCGACUUACCAACCCGAUGCAAACUGCGAAUACCGGAGAAUGUUAUCACGGGAGACACACGGCGGGUGCUAACGUCCGUCGUGAAGAGGGAAACAACCCAGACCGCCAGCUAAGGUCCCAAAGUCAUGGUUAAGUGGGAAACGAUGUGGGAAGGCCCAGACAGCCAGGAUGUUGGCUUAGAAGCAGCCAUCAUUUAAAGAAAGCGUAAUAGCUCACUGGUCGAGUCGGCCUGCGCGGAAGAUGUAACGGGGCUAAACCAUGCACCGAAGCUGCGGCAGCGACGCUUAUGCGUUGUUGGGUAGGGGAGCGUUCUGUAAGCCUGUGAAGGUGUACUGUGAGGUAUGCUGGAGGUAUCAGAAGUGCGAAUGCUGACAUAAGUAACGAUAAAGCGGGUGAAAAGCCCGCUCGCCGGAAGACCAAGGGUUCCUGUCCAACGUUAAUCGGGGCAGGGUGAGUCGACCCCUAAGGCGAGGCCGAAAGGCGUAGUCGAUGGGAAACAGGUUAAUAUUCCUGUACUUGGUGUUACUGCGAAGGGGGGACGGAGAAGGCUAUGUUGGCCGGGCGACGGUUGUCCCGGUUUAAGCGUGUAGGCUGGUUUUCCAGGCAAAUCCGGAAAAUCAAGGCUGAGGCGUGAUGACGAGGCACUACGGUGCUGAAGCAACAAAUGCCCUGCUUCCAGGAAAAGCCUCUAAGCAUCAGGUAACAUCAAAUCGUACCCCAAACCGACACAGGUGGUCAGGUAGAGAAUACCAAGGCGCUUGAGAGAACUCGGGUGAAGGAACUAGGCAAAAUGGUGCCGUAACUUCGGGAGAAGGCACGCUGAUAUGUAGGUGAAGUCCCUCGCGGAUGGAGCUGAAAUCAGUCGAAGAUACCAGCUGGCUGCAACUGUUUAUUAAAAACACAGCACUGUGCAAACACGAAAGUGGACGUAUACGGUGUGACGCCUGCCCGGUGCCGGAAGGUUAAUUGAUGGGGUUAGCGCAAGCGAAGCUCUUGAUCGAAGCCCCGGUAAACGGCGGCCGUAACUAUAACGGUCCUAAGGUAGCGAAAUUCCUUGUCGGGUAAGUUCCGACCUGCACGAAUGGCGUAAUGAUGGCCAGGCUGUCUCCACCCGAGACUCAGUGAAAUUGAACUCGCUGUGAAGAUGCAGUGUACCCGCGGCAAGACGGAAAGACCCCGUGAACCUUUACUAUAGCUUGACACUGAACAUUGAGCCUUGAUGUGUAGGAUAGGUGGGAGGCUUUGAAGUGUGGACGCCAGUCUGCAUGGAGCCGACCUUGAAAUACCACCCUUUAAUGUUUGAUGUUCUAACGUUGACCCGUAAUCCGGGUUGCGGACAGUGUCUGGUGGGUAGUUUGACUGGGGCGGUCUCCUCCUAAAGAGUAACGGAGGAGCACGAAGGUUGGCUAAUCCUGGUCGGACAUCAGGAGGUUAGUGCAAUGGCAUAAGCCAGCUUGACUGCGAGCGUGACGGCGCGAGCAGGUGCGAAAGCAGGUCAUAGUGAUCCGGUGGUUCUGAAUGGAAGGGCCAUCGCUCAACGGAUAAAAGGUACUCCGGGGAUAACAGGCUGAUACCGCCCAAGAGUUCAUAUCGACGGCGGUGUUUGGCACCUCGAUGUCGGCUCAUCACAUCCUGGGGCUGAAGUAGGUCCCAAGGGUAUGGCUGUUCGCCAUUUAAAGUGGUACGCGAGCUGGGUUUAGAACGUCGUGAGACAGUUCGGUCCCUAUCUGCCGUGGGCGCUGGAGAACUGAGGGGGGCUGCUCCUAGUACGAGAGGACCGGAGUGGACGCAUCACUGGUGUUCGGGUUGUCAUGCCAAUGGCACUGCCCGGUAGCUAAAUGCGGAAGAGAUAAGUGCUGAAAGCAUCUAAGCACGAAACUUGCCCCGAGAUGAGUUCUCCCUGACUCCUUGAGAGUCCUGAAGGAACGUUGAAGACGACGACGUUGAUAGGCCGGGUGUGUAAGCGCAGCGAUGCGUUGAGCUAACCGGUACUAAUGAACCGUGAGGCUUAACCUU
Molecule: ribosomal RNA, 2904 nt
Filed under: Escherichia coli 3030-1
Lineage: Bacteria; Pseudomonadati; Pseudomonadota; Gammaproteobacteria; Enterobacterales; Enterobacteriaceae
Description: bacterial LSU rRNA
Rfam family: Bacterial large subunit ribosomal RNA
Source: RNAcentral